UAUUACUUACGACGUUAUGCUUUGUUGUUUUGAAAGUGACUCCCACGUAGCCUACUCUUCUAUUCCAUUCUAUUCUAUAUUCUUUCUCUCUCUCUCUCUCUUUUUUCUCUUAAUAAAUCUAAUCGGAAUCUUCACCAGUUAAUCAGAGCUUUGAGUAGAUAAGACUCGUGGAUGUGUCAUCUCCUUUAUUCAACGUUGAAUAUUGUUAUUAUUCUUGCCCGGUAUUGAGAAAAUACUUUUUCGCUGAAGCUCUGAAUAACAGACCAUCAUCGACAGAUGGGGUCUGAAGGUCCUCCAGCAGCUGUGGCAACAGUUCAUGUAACAGGUUUCAGGAAAUUCCAUGGAGUUUCUGAGAAUCCAACGGAGACAAUUGUCAAUAAUUUGAAUGAAUAUUUGAACAAGAAGAAGGGUUUGCCAAAAGGCUUAGUUAUUGGGAGUUGCAGCAUUCUUGAGACUGCAGGUCAAGGAGCACUCAUUCCCCUCUACCAGACAUUGAAGUCUGCCAUUACUUCCAAGGAAUCAGAAUCUUCAAGUUCCAAUAAAAUUAUUUGGCUGCAUUUUGGGGUUAACAGUGCCGCAACGAGGUUUGCUAUCGAGCGUCAAGCUGUCAACGAGGCUACCUUCCGCUGCCCUGAUGAAAUGGGAUGGAAGCCCCAGAAAGUCCCUAUUGUUCCUUCAGAUGGUGCAAUUACACGAAUACGGGAGACUACCCUUCUUCCUGUGGAGGAGAUCACCAAGGCCUUGGCAAAUAAGGGCUAUGAUGUUAUGACAUCUGAUGAUGCAGGAAGGUUUGUGUGCAACUACGUUUACUAUCAUUCGCUUCGCUUUGCGGAGCAGAAUGGGACUAAAUCCCUUUUUGUGCACGUGCCACUCUUCUCUACAAUCAAUGAAGAGACACAGAUGCAAUUUGCUGCUUCCUUGCUAGAGGUACUUGCUUCGACAUGCCAGUAACAUCCGGCUCAUGCAAAUGUUCAGGUGUUGCCAUGCUUAUGAAAGUGGAUGAGUGUACUUUGAAUGAGAUGCUAUAAAUUAUGAUUACAAGAUGUUGUUUGGAAAUGGAAAACGGUAUAUUGCAAAUGGCAUGUGUAGCAGAGGCGUUUGCUUUCAUCAGUCAAUGUUUCUGAUUAAAAGGCUUCGGCAAAUUGUCAAGACAUGUUGACAUCUUCAGUGUUACCUUGUGAAUAAAUGAAUCCAACUCAGGUACCAAGAGUUUAGAACAACUUGGACAAUGCAGUUCUUGGAUCACAAGUUAUAUUCCAUAUGUUCACAUAACAACCGGCUCCAAUCUACGCGCCUGUAGUACUACAAGAGCUUGUUGGUGCUGGUAGACGUAUAAUAUUAAAAGAUAAUUAAUAGAAUUACCGUUGGAAAUGACCGAAUUGUAAACUUUUCUAAGUGAAUUAUUUGUGUUUUCAAAGUGAAUUCCACCAGUUUUGGGACUCUGAGCA
Molecule: RNA transcript, 1448 nt
Organism: Glycine soja
Lineage: Eukaryota; Viridiplantae; Streptophyta; Magnoliopsida; Fabales; Fabaceae
Gene name: pyrrolidone-carboxylate peptidase-like
Exons: 6
Source: RefSeq, a predicted model, not a curated record